AUGUGGGAUGUGGGCGUCCGAGAGCAACUUAGCUACUGCACCAAAACCCCAGUUCAGAGAGCUCCUACAAACCUGCUACCAACGACAGCUUUCCUGGGACGGAACGCACGUGUCGCACCACCUACGGGGAACAACAGUCCUGUGUGUCCUCCCAGGGACAGGCAGCCCUCACUGCCGUCACCCUCCUCCCGGGGACAGGCGGCCCUCACCUCACCCUCCUCCCGGGCACAGGCGGCCCUGACUGCUGUCACCCUCCUCCCGGGGAUGGGCAGCCCUCACCUCACCCUCCUCCCGGGACAGGCAACCCUCACCACCCUCACCCUCCUCCCAGGGACGGGCGACCCUCACCUCACCCUCCUCCCGGGGACAGGCAGCCCUCACCACCCUCACCCUCCUCCCGGGGACGGGCGACCCUCACCACCCUCACCCUCCUCCCGGGGACGGGCGACCCUCACCACCCUCACCCUCCUCCCGGGGACGGGCGACCCUCACCACCCUCACCCUCCUCCCAGGUAUGGGCAACCCUCACCUCACCCUCACCCUCCUCCCGGGUACAGGCGGCCCUCACUGCCGUCACCCUCCUCCCGGGGACAGGCAGCCCUCACCUCACCCUCCUCCCGGGGACGGGCGGCCCUCACUGCCGUCACCCUCCUCCCGGGGACAGGCGACCCUCACCUCACCCUCACCCUCCUCCUGGGGACAGGCGACCCUCACCUCACCCUCCUCCCGGGGACGGGCGACCCUCACCUCACCCCCCUCCAGGGACGGGCGACCCUCACCCCCAUCACCCUCCUCCCGGGGACAGGCCACCCUCACCCCCAUCACCCUCCUCCCGGGGACAGGCGACCCUCACCUCACCCUCACCCUCCUCCUGGGGACAGGCGACCCUCACCUCACCCUCCUCCCGGGGACGGGCGACCCUCACCUCACCCCCCUCCGGGGACGGGCGACCCUCACCCCCAUCACCCUCCUCCCGGGGACAGGCCACCCUCACCCCCAUCACCCUCCUCCCGGGGACAGGCAACCCUCGCCUCCCUCACCCUUAGAGCACUGCCAUGA
Molecule: long non-coding RNA, 1059 nt
Filed under: Oryctolagus cuniculus (rabbit)
Lineage: Eukaryota; Metazoa; Chordata; Mammalia; Lagomorpha; Leporidae
Description: lncRNA (ENSOCUG00000034325.1)
Source: RNAcentral